GACGAACGCUGGCGGCGUGCUUAACACAUGCAAGUCGAACGGAAAGGCCCUGCUUUUGUGGGGUGCUCGAGUGGCGAACGGGUGAGUAACACGUGAGUAACCUGCCCUUGACUUUGGGAUAACUUCAGGAAACUGGGGCUAAUACCGGAUAGGAGCUCCUGCUGCAUGGUGGGGGUUGGAAAGUUUCGGCGGUUGGGGAUUGACUCGCGGCUUAUCAGCUUGUUGGUGGGGUAGUGGCUUACCAAGGCUUUGACGGGUAGCCGGCCUGCGAGGGCGUCAGGCCUCAAUGGGGCUAGGAUACCGCCCAGACUCCUACGGGAGGCAGCAGUGGGGAAUAUUGAACAAUGGGCGGAAGCCUGCUGCAGCAACGACGCGUGCGGGAUGACGGCCUUCGGUUUGUAAACCGCUUUCGCCUGUGACGAAGCGUGAGUGACGGUAAUGGGUAAAGAAGCACCGGCUAACUACGUG
Molecule: ribosomal RNA, 468 nt
Filed under: uncultured bacterium
Lineage: Bacteria
Description: partial 16S ribosomal RNA
Rfam family: Bacterial small subunit ribosomal RNA
Source: RNAcentral